GAAUUAUUUGUUCCUUCUGAAUAUAUUAAAGUAUAAAAUCGCGAGAUCAUUUAUCAAUAUAUAGUGACGAUGACAUCAUCAGUAUGUUUAAGUGAUGUCAUCGUGACGAAACAAAUAGAUGACAUCAUGGGAUUUUAUGAAGACAUAUCGCUUCGAUAACAAAAUCGUUUUACCAUAGAAUUCAUUUAUUAUAGCAUUUGUAAUCAGUUGACUGAUCAGGAUGACGUCACUUGAUUGCAGUAAUGCCUUCACAGUGAUGCCACUCAAUUGUUACGUCAUCUUGACGUCACAUCGGUGCGAUUAUAAUAUCACCCUGAAUUCUGAUUAACAUUGAAGGAUUUGAAUGAAGGCAUAUUUCGUUGUCAUCCCAAAAUGCCCACUCCUUGGGGCGAUCUUGAUCAAAGAUAACCUAUGUGUCUCGUGGGGCUGCGAGAAGUCUCUAUUAAGUUUAGUCUUGAAGGGUCAAACAGUGCGGGAGUCUUUACAGAACAGCCAGACAAACAAACAUUGCAUUUUAUAUAUAAAAAUUCUAUUUUUUAUUAUUUGGAUUUAUUUUGUUUUAAAGUUUACACCACCACUU
This 580-nucleotide long non-coding RNA is filed under the name Androctonus crassicauda. Lineage: Eukaryota; Metazoa; Arthropoda; Arachnida; Scorpiones; Buthidae. The record is from RNAcentral.